Molecule: ribosomal RNA, 252 nt
Filed under: uncultured bacterium
Lineage: Bacteria
Description: partial 16S ribosomal RNA
Rfam family: Bacterial small subunit ribosomal RNA
Source: RNAcentral
UACGUAGGGCGCAAGCGUUAUCCGGAAUUAUUGGGCGUAAAGAGCUCGUAGGCGGUUUGUCGCGUCUGCCGUGAAAGUCCGGGGCUCAACUCCGGAUCUGCGGUGGGUACGGGCAGACUAGAGUGAUGUAGGGGAGACUGGAAUUCCUGGUGUAGCGGUGAAAUGCGCAGAUAUCAGGAGGAACACCGAUGGCGAAGGCAGGUCUCUGGGCCACUACUGACGCUGAGAAGCGAAAGCAUGGGAGCGAACAGG